RNAcentral lists this ribosomal RNA (253 nucleotides) under uncultured bacterium. Its description in RNAcentral is "partial 16S ribosomal RNA". It matches the Rfam family "Bacterial small subunit ribosomal RNA", at positions 524 to 776 of the family's 1533-position model. The record is from RNAcentral.
UACAGAGGGGGCAAGCGUUGUUCGGAAUUACUGGGCGUAAAGGGCGCGUAGGCGGCCCGCUAAGUCGAACGUGAAAUCCCCGAGCUCAACUCGGGAACUGCGUCCGAUACUGGCGGGCUUGAAUCCGGGAGAGGGAUGCGGAAUUCCAGGUGUAGCGGUGAAAUGCGUAGAUAUCUGGAGGAACACCGGUGGCGAAGGCGACAUCCUGGACCGGUAUUGACGCUGAGGCGCGAAAGCCAGGGGAGCAAACGGG